GGAAAGCUUUGAUGUUCGAUUUGUUCAUUAGGUAUUGACCGAACAUUUUUAUCAUUGAUAUGGGGAUCAUUUUGUUCUAGUAUUCAAAACAUGCCUUCUCAUUUGGUAGUUUUAGGGUACUGUCAAGGAGCCCACCUGCUUAAACUGCGGGUUCAAUACUACCGAGCAUUCACCGGCAUUAAAGGCGAGUAC
This 192-nucleotide non-coding RNA is filed under the name Lactobacillales bacterium. RNAcentral's name for it is "6S RNA". It matches the Rfam family "6S / SsrS RNA". Rfam says of the family: E. coli 6S RNA was the first non coding RNA to be sequenced, but its function was unknown until recently. It consists of 184 nucleotides that fold into an extended hairpin structure with a large single-stranded internal bulge. The 6S RNA specifically associates with RNA polymerase holoenzyme containing the sigma70 specificity factor. Lineage: Bacteria; Bacillati; Bacillota; Bacilli; Lactobacillales. The record is from RNAcentral.